This 487-nucleotide ribosomal RNA is filed under the name uncultured bacterium. RNAcentral's name for it is "bacterial SSU rRNA". It matches the Rfam family "Bacterial small subunit ribosomal RNA", at positions 28 to 529 of the family's 1533-position model. The record is from RNAcentral.
GACGAACGCUGGCGGCGUGCCUAAUGCAUGCAAGUCGAACGCACUGCCUUCGGGCAGUGAGUGGCGCACGGCUGAGGAACACGUGGGAAUCUGCCCGACCGUGGGGGAUAACACGCCGAAAGGCGUGCUAAGCCCGCAUACGCUCGCAAGAGGAAAGCGGCAACGCGCGGUCGGAGGAGCCUGCGGCCCAUCAGGUAGUCGGCGGGGUAACGGCCCACCGAGCCGGUGACGGGUAGCUGGUCUGUGAGGACAGACAGCCAGACUGGGACUGAGACACGGCCCAGACUCCUACGGGAGGCAGCAGUGAGGAAUCUUGCGCAAUGGGCGAAAGCCUGACGCAGCGACGCCGCGUGGAGGAUGACGGUUUUCGGAUUGUAAACUCCUGUUAAGCGGGAAGAAAGCCUUGUUUCUAAUACAAGCAAGGUAUGACGGUACCGCUAGAGAAAGCACCGGCUAACUUCGUGCCAGCAGCCGCGGUAAUGUCGUC